CCCCGCCCCAGCUCCCUGUCCCUGCUAGGCUGCCUUGGGGGGAAGGGCAGGGCGGGGGAGAAGGGCUGGUGGGGGCUGGGGACUUUCUCCAAGUUUUCUUUUUAGCCUUUUUUGAAGGUAGCUAGUGGGGGCUUCUUCGAGGGUUGACAUGACACCCCGCCCCCCAGGUGGCAGGAAGACAGUGCUAAACUCCUAGGAGCCAGGUGUGAGGUUGGAGGCGGCAUUCCUUUGCAUCAAUGUCAGGGAUCCCAGGUUAGACCCAGCCUGGGAUCUCCAGAGGGGAGAAUGCUAAAAAUGCAGAAGGAAGGGGGCGAUCCAAACCCACAGUGCCUCUGAUGCAGACAGCGAGGGGGCAUUCUAGGAGAGCAGCCAGGAGCCCCUCCUGAGACAGAAAAGCCAAGUUGCCCCUGGAGCCUCAGAGAAGGAGCAACAAGUAGUCGCCUCCCCCACCGCCACAUAGCUGUCGGGAGAGUCUGUAUUUGAAAGAGAAAGGCAACUGGGACUCCAGAUGGAAGUACAGCCGGAACUAUAGGUGGGAGCAAAGAAUUAGCCUUUCCGCUGCCUACCUCUUUUUUCCUGAAACUCCACUGGCAGUCAGCUCCUGCUAGCAGCUCCAGGCCCUCUCCUACAGGAAGACUUCCUGGAUUAAUCUGCUAAUCUUCAGCUCAUCCACCUGUUUAAUAGGCAAAACCUACAGAACUAGUCCACACUGAGUGGACCUCUGGGGCUCCCAGCUGCCGAUUGACCUGAACCCCAGAGUGAACUCGUGUUGCUUUGUGGCUUCAGGAAACCUUGGAACAUCUCUGUGCUGUUUUUUCAUUUGUGCUCAAUCAUUCCUGAGGCCUCCUCCUCCUGCUGCAAUUUGACAAGACUUGACCAAAUCAUUAACUCCCAGUUAAUGGGAUAAAAUGAGUUUGAAUCUGGGAUUCUGGUCAUUAACCCCAUGUCACCAUCUGCUCCAGCAGUUUGAUGGCAGGGCUAGGUGAAUUCUAAUCACCCAACACUUGUUAAACUGCUGAUUCCUGCUUCCCCACCUCUGCUGACUCAGCAUCUCUGGGGUGGGGCCUGCAAAGGCUCUCUUCCUUGACGGGGUUAUUGAGGGCAGCUCUAGGAACCCACCCAGGACCAGACCUGAUGAGGAGUUCCUCCUAUGCAUCAGGUAUGCUGGGUCGGUUUGCGGAGUUUCAUAACUUGCAUUUUCCUCUGCCUGGAGAGUUCCUUGCAGCUGGCUUCUUCUGUGUCACGGCCCCACAGAGAUCUUGGCUGGUCUCCCUAUCUCCACCCUCCACCAUGCUCACUAUUCCAUUACAAGUUUCCUUUUCUACCCAGUACUAAUCAUUUUCUGCAAUUCAUCUCAUUUCCUUGUGAACUAUCUGUUGGUCCUACCAGAAUGUAAGUCUCCACCUGGGGGCAGAGACCCUGCCUGGCUUGUUAGAAGCCAUAUCCCCAGGAUUGAAGCAUAUGAGAGAUGCUCAGAAAUACAAGAAUUCAUGAACAAAUGAACACGAGUGAAUUCAUUCAGCUCUGAUGCUGAGGCUCCCUCUCUGAGAUGAAAGAAUGGGGAACCUUCUUCUAAUCCUGGGGAACCUGGGGCCUGUCUACUUCUGUCCCUCUUUCCCCUGCGAAGGAAAAAUAGAAGAAAGAAGCCAUCUCUGUUUGCUUUCUCCCUGUCACUCAAUCUCUGGAGCCAACUGCUUCACAAAUAAAGAGAAGUGCACAGAGAGUCCCUGAAGCCCACCAUCAACAGACAGGCUUUCAACAAAACUGUAUCAGCACCGCCUUGGCCAUAGCUACACUCUACAGAAAAUGGGAGAGAGGAACAGCGCUAGAGAAGUUUGUCCUUGCCUGGUUCCCGGGUGGAACUUCCUCUCCCCCUUGUGUUCUAUGCGUGUGGUUACAGCUGCCUCUGAUCUUUGGUGACCAGCGGUUGGCAGUGGUGGUAUUUCAGCAUACCUUGAUCAUCGUGCUUAUUACACAGCCUCCUUUACCAUCAACCCUACCUACCUUCUUCUAGCCAUGCCCCCCACCUCCUCCCGUCUCUAUCCAUCUCUUCGCUCUUUUAAAAAAUACUUAAGUGUGUACAGAUCACAGUGACUUCAUUUGUGUGCCCAUUCACAUUUGAUGACUUCCAUAACCCCCAUACAAGUAGUUGUGUAUUCGUUUUAAUUCACUUUAUUUAUUUCCUAGCUCUUUCAUAAAAUAAAAUGAAAUAUAAGUAAUGAAAUGGGAAUAAAAAAGAGAAAAAUAGAAUUGAGGGGGAAAAGGAGAAAUGCAUCUAUGUUUGUGAUCACGUUCAUCUUUCUCCAUGCAUCAAUAUGCAUACUAUUAUGAAUUCAUUGCACGUAUUUUAACAUGUAGGCACUACAUGGGGAUGUGGUGUCUACAUACCACCUCUAUAGUGGUAGGCACUGCAAAGGGACAUACAAAAGGUAAAAAGCAUAGUCUCUACUCUCAUAGGACUUUUCAUCUCAUGGAUGUGGCACUCAUAAUGUCUUUUAUCUGUGUCCCACUUGAUGUGAAACUCUUUAGUAGGCAUGAUCCUAUUUGAUUUCCAUAAGCAGAAGAGGGGUCACUGUUUCCAUGUUAUGAGAGAGGAAACUGAGGUUCAGAGAGUGAAAGGACCCUGAUGAGAUAAUGGAACUGGGGCUCAAAUCCUGGUUUCCCGACUCAACAUUUCACAUUCUUUCUACUCUGUCAUUAUUCAUUAGUCAAGUUUCUCCACAGACAACUCACUGAGCCACAACAUAUGAAGCAGCAUGGUAAUGCCACUAGACUGGUCAUGAUCAGAAGAUGUGGCCCCAGGGAAGAGAAAGCAAGAGAGCUGGAGAUAGCAGAGAAAGCACCAAGGAAGGGCUUGGCCGUGCAGCUCUAGCAGGGAGGUCCUUCCUUUCAGCCCCCAAGUGUCCCUCUGUGUCUCAUCUAAAAAGCAAAAAAAGAGGAGAACUAGAGCUUAUGGUUGAAGGCGUGAGAAUGAGGUGUCUUUUCCCUCUAUCUCUGUAAUAUACAAGUAUAAAUACUAUAUAUACAUAUGUAUAUGUGUUCCUUUUUUCUGUGUCUGAUUAUGCAUGCAAUUUAGCAAGGAUUUAUUGCCUAAUUUUGGUCUGGGCACUUUGCUAACGCAAUGGGGGAGGAUACCAAGAAAUUAGGGACUCAGCCUCAUUGUCCCCAGAGACUCCUGGGGGUGGGCAAGGCACGGUGUCUGUGCAUACUGCUGGGGGAGCUCUGGAUUAGGGGACAUCAGGAGACAUGACAUUGAAAUGUCCUACUCAGUUCUCUGUACAGAUUGGAUUUCCGUGGAAGAAAGAAAAUCAACAUGUAUUGGGAGUCAACAUCUCAUUCAGUCCUGUGAGUUUAUUCUGCCUAUUUUUCAGACAAGGAGACUAAGGCUUCAAGACGGUAAGUAAAUUGCCCACAGUGUCACUGCUGGUGUGGGAAUGAGCUUCAGGGUCAUUGAGUCAUGCUGCUGCCCAGGUACCCUGUAAGGCCGUCAAGUGUUGUGGGUAAGGGUUUUGGUGCUGACGUUCAGGUGAUUGUGAGUUUAAAGCCUGG
Molecule: long non-coding RNA, 3549 nt
Filed under: Homo sapiens (human)
Lineage: Eukaryota; Metazoa; Chordata; Mammalia; Primates; Hominidae
Description: HSALNT0239622
Source: RNAcentral